This 142-nucleotide small nucleolar RNA is filed under the name Monodelphis domestica (gray short-tailed opossum). Its description in RNAcentral is "Small nucleolar RNA SNORA47 (ENSMODG00000027126.2)". It matches the Rfam family "Small nucleolar RNA SNORA47". The record is from Rfam by way of RNAcentral. Lineage: Eukaryota; Metazoa; Chordata; Mammalia; Didelphimorphia; Didelphidae.
UGGAGGACAGAGAAGGUAAGGCAGUUAUGUUCCGUGCUGCCCUCUACCGGUUAUUGCCUCCGACAGCAAAGUGAUGCCAGAAACAUUGGCUUUUCUCUUCUUUCUCCAUGGAAGGGAAUGAGCAAUGCUUUCUUUGCAGACA